GACGAACGCUGGCGGCGUGCCUAAUACAUGCAAGUAGAACGCUGAAGGAGGAGCUUGCUUCUCCGGAUGAGUUGCGAACGGGUGAGUAACGCGUAGGUAACCUGCCUGGUAGCGGGGGAUAACUAUUGGAAACGAUAGCCAAUACCGCAUAACAGUAGAUGUUGCAUGACAUUUGCUUAAAAGGUGCAAUUGCAUCACUACCAGAUGGACCUGCGUUGUAUUAGCUAGUUGGUGAGGUAACGGCUCACCAAGGCGUCGAUACAUAGCCGACCUGAGAGGGUGAUCGGCCACACUGGGACUGAGACACGGCCCAGACUCCUACGGGAGGCAGCAGUAGGGAAUCUUCGGCAAUGGACGGAAGUCUGACCGAGCAACGCCGCGUGAGUGAAGAAGGUUUUCGGAUCGUAAAGCUCUGUUGUAAGAGAAGAACGAGUGUGAGAGUGGAAAGUUCACACUGUGACGGUAUCUUACCAGAAAGGGACGGCUAACUACGUG
RNAcentral lists this ribosomal RNA (495 nucleotides) under uncultured bacterium. RNAcentral's name for it is "partial 16S ribosomal RNA". It matches the Rfam family "Bacterial small subunit ribosomal RNA", at positions 28 to 507 of the family's 1533-position model. The record is from RNAcentral.